UACAGAGACUGCAAGCGUUAUUCGGAUUCACUGGGCGUAAAGGGUGCGCAGGCGGCCAAGUGUGUUAGGCGUGAAAGCCCGGGGCUUAACCCCGGAAUUGCACCUAAAACUACAUGGCUAGAGCAUUGGAGAGGGUAGCAGAAUUCAUGGUGUAGCAGUAGAAAUGCGUAGAUAUCAUGAGGAAUACCAGAGGCGAAGGCGGCUACCUGGACAAUUGCUGACGCUCAGGCACGAAAGCGUGGGGAGCAAAAGGG
This 254-nucleotide ribosomal RNA is filed under the name uncultured bacterium. RNAcentral's name for it is "partial 16S ribosomal RNA". It matches the Rfam family "Bacterial small subunit ribosomal RNA", at positions 524 to 776 of the family's 1533-position model. The record is from RNAcentral.